UCAAAACUUUCAACAACGGAUCUCUUGGUUCUGGCAUCGAUGAAGAACGCAGCGAAAUGCGAUAAGUAAUGUGAAUUGCAGAAUUCAGUGAAUCAUCGAAUCUUUGAACGCACAUUGCGCCCUCUGGUAUUCCAGAGGGCAUGCCUGUUCGAGCGUCAUU
Molecule: ribosomal RNA, 160 nt
Filed under: Cytospora eucalypticola
Lineage: Eukaryota; Fungi; Ascomycota; Sordariomycetes; Diaporthales; Cytosporaceae
Also listed under: 51 other names
Description: 5.8S ribosomal RNA
Rfam family: 5.8S ribosomal RNA
About the family: 5.8S ribosomal RNA (5.8S rRNA) is a component of the large subunit of the eukaryotic ribosome. It is transcribed by RNA polymerase I as part of the 45S precursor that also contains 18S and 28S rRNA.
Source: RNAcentral